GACGAACGCUGGCGGCGUGCUUAACACAUGCAAGUCGAACGGAAAGGCCCCUUUGGGGGUACUCGAGUGGCGAACGGGUGAGUAACACGUGAGUAACCUGCCCUUGACUUCGGGAUAACUUCAGGAAACUGGGGCUAAUACCGGAUAGGAAUCCUUGCUGCAUGGUGGGGGUUGGAAAGCUUCGGCGGUUUUGGAUGGACUCGCGGCUUAUCAGCUUGUUGGUGGGGUAGUGGCUUACCAAGGCUUUGACGGGUAGCCGGCCUGAGAGGGCGACCGGCCACAUUGGGACUGAGAUACGGCCCAGACUCCUACGGGAGGCAGCAGUGGGGAAUAUUGCACAAUGGGCGGAAGCCUGAUGCAGCAACGCCGCGUGCGGGAGGACGGCCUUCGUGUUGUAAACCGCUUUCAGCAGGGGCGAAGCUUGUGGUGACGGUACCUGCAGAAGAAGCACCGGCUAACUACGUG
RNAcentral lists this ribosomal RNA (465 nucleotides) under uncultured bacterium. RNAcentral's name for it is "partial 16S ribosomal RNA". It matches the Rfam family "Bacterial small subunit ribosomal RNA", at positions 28 to 507 of the family's 1533-position model. The record is from RNAcentral.